AGCGAACGCUGGCGGCAGGCCUAACACAUGCAAGUCGAACGAACCUUUCGGGGUUAGUGGCGGACGGGUGAGUAACACGUGGGAACGUGCCUUUAGGUUCGGAAUAACUCAGGGAAACUUGUGCUAAUACCGAAUGUGCCCUUCGGGGAAAGAUCUAUCGCCUUUAGAGCGGCCCGCGUCUGAUUAGCUAGUUGGUUGAGGUAAUGGCUCACCAAGGCGACGAUCAGUAGCUGGUCUGAGAGGAUGAUCAGCCACAUUGGGACUGAGACACGGCCCAAACUCCUACGGGAGGCAGCAGUGGGGAAUCUUGCGCAAUGGGCGAAAGCCUGACGCAGCCAUGCCGCGUGAAUGAUGAAGGUCUUAGGAUUGUAAAAUUCUUUCACCGGGGACGAUAAUGACGGUACCCGGAGAAGAAGCCCCGGCUAACUUCGUG
RNAcentral lists this ribosomal RNA (433 nucleotides) under uncultured bacterium. Its description in RNAcentral is "partial 16S ribosomal RNA". It matches the Rfam family "Bacterial small subunit ribosomal RNA", at positions 29 to 507 of the family's 1533-position model. The record is from RNAcentral.